RNAcentral lists this ribosomal RNA (468 nucleotides) under uncultured bacterium. RNAcentral's name for it is "partial 16S ribosomal RNA". It matches the Rfam family "Bacterial small subunit ribosomal RNA", at positions 28 to 507 of the family's 1533-position model. The record is from RNAcentral.
GACGAACGCUGGCGGCGUGCUUAACACAUGCAAGUCGAACGGAAAGUCCCUGCCUUUCUGCGGUCCUCGAGUGGCCAACGGGUGACUAACACUUUACUACCCUGCCCUCCACUUAGGGAUAACUUCAUGACACUUGGGCUCAUACCGGAUAGGAGCUACCGCUGCAUGGUGGGGGUUCGAAAGUUUCGGCUGUUGGGGAUGGACUCGCGGCGUAUCAGCUUGAUGCGUGGGUAGUGGCUUACCAAGGCAUUGAAGGGUAGCCGGCCUGAGAGGGGGACAGGCCACAUUGGGACGGAGAUGAGGCACGGACUCCUACGGUAGGGAGGAGUGGGGAAUGGUGCACUAGGGAAGGAGGCCUAAUGCAGCAACGCCACGUGCGGGAUGACGGCAAUCGGUUUGUAAACCGAUGUCGCCUGAGACGAAGCGUGAGUGACGGUAAUGGGUAAAGAAGCACCGGCUAACUACGUG